AGCUCCAAUAGCGUAUAUUAAAGUUGCUGCAGUUAAAAAGCUCGUAGUUGCAUUUCCGAGGCAAGGGAUUAGUCCGACCUUUGGUGGGUAUUUAAUCCUCUUGCCUCGUCCUUGAGUGGUGCUUCUUGGUAUUAAGUUAUCGAGGAGAUAGCCGCUCAUCGUUUACUGUGAGAAAAUUAGAGUGUUCAAAGCAGGCUUAUGCCGUUGAAUAUAUUAGCAUGGAAUAAUAAGAUAGGACCUCGGUACUAUUUUGGUGGUUUGAGAACCAAGGUAAUGAUGAAUAGGGACAGUUGGGGGUAUUCGUAUUCAGUUGUCAGAGGUGAAAUUCUUAGAUUUACGGAAGACGAACUACUGCGAAAGCAUUUACCAAGGAUGUUGUCA
Molecule: ribosomal RNA, 381 nt
Filed under: uncultured marine Chaetocerotaceae
Lineage: Eukaryota; Bacillariophyta; Thalassiosirophyceae; Chaetocerotales; Chaetocerotaceae
Description: SSU rRNA
Rfam family: Eukaryotic small subunit ribosomal RNA
Source: RNAcentral